Long non-coding RNA from Balaenoptera ricei (Rice's whale), 856 nucleotides. RefSeq lists it as uncharacterized. The transcript has 3 exons. NCBI's taxonomy places the organism in Eukaryota, Metazoa, Chordata, Mammalia, Artiodactyla, Balaenopteridae. The record is from RefSeq and is a predicted model, not a curated record.
CGUGACCUCGACAAGCUGCCCUCAGCACACACUCCUCACAGGUCCCCACGCCACGUGGGCUGCUGCUGGGCUGGGAAUUCGCGGUGGGUCUCUGCCCAGCAUCUGCAGGGACUGCUCACUGCGCCUUCCACACCCACAGCUCCGGCCCCCAAGCCCUGGCUGUGCUGUCGCCCAGCCUCGGGACCUCCCUGCCCACCCCUCCGCCCCUGCCCCACCCUCCUUUACGGGUUGGAAGGAGAAGACUGAACUAGCAUCCACUGAGGACCUGCUUCGUGCUGGGCUCUUCAACACACACCAGAUCAUGUGAUGCUCGUGACCACCUUCCUGAGGAAGGAGAAAGAAGCUGGGGCUCUAAAAUAUUAAGAAACUCACCCGAAGACCCUGAGCUGGAUCCUCCUGGAAAAAACAUGGUUCUGUGGCUGAAUAAGCAGGAAACUGCACGCUGUCUAUGCCCAUCUGGGAAAGUCACUGUGGACAUCAGUGUACGAAAGGCCUGAGGAGUCUUGCAGGGGAAACUCUGAGCUGCUUAUUCCAGCACGAUCCAAACUUACUCGACCACAGAGCACACGGGCUGCCACUGCCCCCAUCUAAUGCCUCUUAACCCUACAGAUAACAACUGGGAUGCUAGAAACAGGACUCUUCUCAAUUACCCACUGAGAGGAAAGACGGCUCCUAGUGGAUAGAUCCUAACCAUGCUGAUGUGUUAAUGAUCGCAAAUGACUUCAUGUUUGUGAUUGUAUGAAUAUAUGUCUACAAAUUCUUUCAUGUUCCUCUCUUCAAGAGGUGGAGCUUAAUUCCCCUCCCUUUGAGCAUGGGCUGGACUUAGUAUCUUGCCUCUAAGGAAUAAAAAAGGUGA